UGUGUUGCCGUUCGAGUGGGCGCGGUAAUGCGGAAGGGGCUAGGGUGGUUCGGAAGUACUGGGCGUAAAGCGCGCGUAGGCGGCCAUGCAAGUGAGGCGUGAAAGGCCGGGGCUCAACCUGGGAACGGCGCUUCAGACUGCACGGCUUGAGUCCGGGAGAGGGGGGUGGAAUUCCCAGUGUAGAGGUGAAAUUCGUAGAUAUUGGGAGGAACACCAGUGGCGAAGGCGGCCACCUGGCCCGGUACUGACGCUCAAGUGCGAAAGCGUGGGGAGCAAACAGGAUUAGAUACCCGAGUAGUC
Molecule: ribosomal RNA, 300 nt
Filed under: uncultured Pyrobaculum sp.
Lineage: Archaea; Thermoproteati; Thermoproteota; Thermoprotei; Thermoproteales; Thermoproteaceae
Description: bacterial SSU rRNA
Rfam family: Bacterial small subunit ribosomal RNA
Source: RNAcentral